GAAAAAUUCUGUGCUAGAAUAAUUGUUUUAGCUGUCUUUUACUCCAAUCUUGCAAUUCAAGGAAACUAAUUUUGUCCUUAUGUUGCAGCAGAGCCAUAGUAAAGGAAGGGUGUAAACACACCCAAAUGUUGUGAAUUGCUGCUUCUGUUACCAUUUCCUCUGAAGAGGAGGGGCUGAAUUUCAGAGCUGUGGAAUGAGCAGGAGACAGCAGAGCUCAGAGAUGCUGGAAGGAGAAAGCACAAGAAGAGCAUGGGCAUCAGGGGUGCUGAGGGACCAAUACUUUUAGCAGAGAAAUAUAGGAUACUUGAAUUUGGAAGGAACCUCUGGAUGUCAUCUGGUCCACAUUCCCUGCUCAAGCAGAGCCACUUCAGAUGACCAUGUCAGAGACCUUUUGAGUAUCUGCAAGGCUGGGGACUCCACAAGCUCCCUGGGCAACCUCUUCAGUGCUCAGUCACCCUCACAGUAAAAAAGUGUCUCCUGAUGCUCAGAGGGAGCCUCCUGUGUAUUAAUUUAUCCUGUCAUUGGACACCACUGGAAAGAACCUGGUUCUGUCUUCUUUUCACCCUCCCUUCAGGUCAGAGAAGCUGAGCUGAUUGCAUGCCAGAGGAUGAAGAGCGCUCCAUCUGCUUGUGGCUUUAAGCAGCCCACACAAAAAAAUUGCAAAGUGGGUUUUACCUGGACCCAAAGUGAUAUUCUCAGCUACCUGCAAGAUCCAGGCAAUACAGCUUCAGGCAUGUGGUGCAAGAGGAAGAGGAGUGGUUCAGCUCUAGUGCCCAAAGCAGAACAAAACUGCUGUGAAAAUGUGAAGCACAUUUCAGUGAUCUGAUUCUUUAUCUGUACCUCCUUGAUUACAAUCAAGGAAUCAUGAUGACCAGCUAACUUUCAUUAGUGUUUCUGAACUGGUGAUUCUUCAGUGAAGAUAUAUAGGUCUGUCUUUUUCUGCUGUCUGUAUAUGAGUCUGUAUUUGACCUAGAGGUCCCCAUGCCUAUUUCCUCAGUUCCCAGUUCCUGUAGAUUACUUCCACUAGAAUCCUAGAGGAAAAACAUUCUGUGGUUUCUGCUAGUAGCUGUAUGAAUGAAUGUGUGCUACUGUUGAGUGAUUAUGAAUUUGACGCAAAGGCAAGUGUCAUGUGGCUUUUUAGGAAUGCAGCAUAAAAUGCAAGUAUGUAAAGAACUACAGUAGACAGUGCAAUUUACUGAGAGGAGAUGCCAAAACAUGUUAUGAAAUACUCCUUGUGUACUUUAAUAUUUCUUCUGUGUUCUCCCACACAGUGUUCAGAACAAAUUAAAUGACAUGAAGAAUAUUACAGAUUUUUUAAAACAGAUGGAGGACAUCACUUUUAUGGAUUUGAACAAUUCAUUAAAAGUUAGUUUCUGUUAAGAUUCA
Parus major (Great Tit) is the source of this 1386-nucleotide long non-coding RNA. RefSeq lists it as uncharacterized. The transcript is spliced from 3 exons. The record is from RefSeq and is a predicted model, not a curated record. NCBI's taxonomy places the organism in Eukaryota, Metazoa, Chordata, Aves, Passeriformes, Paridae.